Molecule: non-coding RNA, 1389 nt
Organism: Zea mays
Lineage: Eukaryota; Viridiplantae; Streptophyta; Magnoliopsida; Poales; Poaceae
Source: RefSeq, a predicted model, not a curated record
AGCGCGCUAUGGUCAAAACAUAAUAUUUCAGAACAAGUCCGAACGAACUGAAGGAGAGGAGGAGGAGGAGGAAUGGCGGACGCAGCCAGAGGCCUCGGGUCUUCGUCUCUCCCGGUGGCUAACGUGCAGGCGCUUGCGGAGUCUUGCAACGACAACGGAGCCGAUGCGCCGGUGCCCGGGAGGUACCUCAUCAAGGAUCCUAGCGCCGAGGAGGUCGUAGCCGCCGGCGACAGCGCCUGCACGAUUCCGGUCAUCGAUUUCCGCAAGCUGCUCGAUCCGGGGUCGUACGAGGAGGAGUGCGCCAGGCUGGGAGCCGCGUGCCACCACUGGGGAUUCUUCCAGCUCAUCAACCAUGGCGUUCCGGCCGAGGUGACUGGGAACCUGAUGAAGGACGUAGCUGGGUUCUUCAGGCAGCCGCUGGAAGCCAAGAAGGAGUGCGCGCAGCAGGCCGGCAGCAUCGAAGGCUACGGCCAGGCCUUCGUCGUGUCGGAGGACCAGAAGCUGGACUGGGCGGACAUGCUCUUCCUCAUCGUGCGGCCGAGGGAGGCCAGGGACAUGCGCUUCUGGCCGACGCGCCCUGAGUCCUUCAGGGAUUCCGUGGACGCGUACUCCUUGGAAGCUUCGAAGCUAGCGUACCGCCUGCUGGAGUUCAUGGCAAGGGGCGUGGGUGCCGACCCGGCGUCGCUGCAGGGCAUGUUCCAAGGGCAGGUGCAGGGCAUGCGGGUGAACUACUACCCGCCGUGCCGGCAGGCGGCGGACCAAGUGCUGGGCCUGUCGCCGCACAGCGACCCCAACGGGCUCACCCUGCUCCUGCAGAUGAGCCACGACGUGCACGGGCUUCAGGUCAGCAAGGACGGCAGGUGGUUCCCCGUGCAGGCUCUCCCCGGCGCCUUCGUUGUCAACGACUCAACGUCGGUGACGCGCUCGAGAUCGUUAGCAACGGAGCGUUCAGGAGUGUUGAGCACAGGGCCGUGAUACACCCGACCAAGGAGCGGAUUUCGGCGGCGCUGUUCCACUUCCCGGACCAGGAUCGGAUGCUUGGUCCUCUGCCGGAGCUGGUGAAGGAAGGCGACACAGUGCGGUACGCAACGACGACUUACCAAGAGUUCAUGAAGCGAUUCUUCGCUGCAAAGCUCGAUGGAAAGAAGCUCAUAGAGAGAUUCAAGCUACAGUAGUAGCUACGACCUCUCAGCUCGAACAAAAAAUAAAUUCACUUGUAAUUAUUAAUAAUGGCCAGUUAUUGAACGGUUUGCUUGUCUAAAAUGUUAACGCGCGCAACCUCGGGUUCGGGCAUUACUGUGUUACAUCCGUUUGCUUCCUGCAUACUGUCAGAGAAUUACCCUGAGCAUAGUGGUACUCGCAUGAGUUAUCCAAAUGAUAAAUUUGGUA